Non-coding RNA from Hypoxylon crocopeplum, 139 nucleotides. The record is from the annotation of a GenBank genome assembly. NCBI's taxonomy places the organism in Eukaryota, Fungi, Ascomycota, Sordariomycetes, Xylariales, Hypoxylaceae.
GCCCGUAUAGCUCAGUGGUAGAGCGCAUCACUCGGUUAGUGCAUGUUAAACACACCACAAAUGGAAUUUCGGUAGCUAAUAUUCAGUAGUAUCUCUGUGCGAAAUGAUGAGGUCCAUCGUUCAAUCCGGUGUGGGGGCA